Molecule: ribosomal RNA, 500 nt
Filed under: Bacillaceae bacterium JAMSTEC10
Lineage: Bacteria; Bacillati; Bacillota; Bacilli; Caryophanales; Bacillaceae
Description: bacterial SSU rRNA
Rfam family: Bacterial small subunit ribosomal RNA
Source: RNAcentral
GAGAGUACGGUCGCAGUACUGAAACUCAAAGGAAUUGACGGGGGCCCGCACCAGCGGUGGAGCAUGUGGUUUAAUUCGAAGCAACGCGAAGAACUUACCCAGGUCUUGACAUCCUCUGACAACUCGAGAGAUAGAGCGUUCCCCUUCGGGGGACAGAGUGACAGGUGGUGCAUGGUUGUCGUCAGCUCGUGUCGUGAGAUGUUGGGUUAAGUCCCGCAACGAGCGCAACCCUUGAUCUUAGUUGCCAGCAUUUAGUUGGGCACUCUAAGGUGACCGCCGGUGACAAACCGGAGGAAGGUGGGGAUGACGUCAAAUCAUCAUGCCCCUUAUGACCUGGGCUACACACGUGCUACAAUGGAUGGUACAAAGGGCUGCAAGACCGCGAGGUCAAGCCAAUCCCAUAAAACCAUUCUCAGUUCGGAUUGUAGGCUGCAACUCGCCUACAUGAAGCUGGAAUCGCUAGUAAUCGCGGAUCAGCAUGCCGCGGUGAAUACGUUCCC